AGAGUUUGAUCAUGGCUCAGAUUGAACGCUGGCGGCAUGCCUUACACAUGCAAGUCGAACGGCAGCAUGAUCUAGCUUGCUAGAUUGAUGGCGAGUGGCGAACGGGUGAGUAAUACAUCGGAACGUGCCCUGUAGUGGGGGAUAACUAGUCGAAAGAUUAGCUAAUACCGCAUACGACCUGAGGGUGAAAGUGGGGGACCGCAAGGCCUCAUGCUAUAGGAGCGGCCGAUGUCUGAUUAGCUAGUUGGUGAGGUAAAGGCUCACCAAGGCGACGAUCAGUAGCUGGUCUGAGAGGACGAUCAGCCACACUGGGACUGAGACACGGCCCAGACUCCUACGGGAGGCAGCAGUGGGGAAUUUUGGACAAUGGGCGAAAGCCUGAUCCAGCAAUGCCGCGUGUGUGAAGAAGGCCUUCGGGUUGUAAAGCACUUUUGUCCGGAAAGAAAUGGCUCUGGUUAAUACCUGGGGUCGAUGACGGUACCGGAAGAAUAAGGACCGGCUAACUACGUGCCAGCAGCCGCGGUAAUACGUAGGGUCCAAGCGUUAAUCGGAAUUACUGGGCGUAAAGCGUGCGCAGGCGGUUGUGCAAGACCGAUGUGAAAUCCCCGAGCUUAACCUGGGAAUUGCAUUGGUGACUGCACGGCUAGAGUGUGUCAGAGGGGGGUAGAAUUCCACGUGUAGCAGUGAAAUGCGUAGAGAUGUGGAGGAAUACCGAUGGCGAAGGCAGCCCCCUGGGAUAACACUGACGCUCAUGCCACGAAAGCGUGGGGAGCAAACAGGAUUAGAUACCCUGGUAGUCCACGCCCUAAACGAUGUCAACUAGUUGUUGGGGAUUCAUUUCCUUAGUAACGUAGCUAACGCGUGAAGUUGACCGCCUGGGGAGUACGGUCGCAAGAUUAAAACUCAAAUGAAAUCGUCGACCUGCAGGCAUGCAAG
RNAcentral lists this ribosomal RNA (936 nucleotides) under uncultured bacterium. Its description in RNAcentral is "bacterial SSU rRNA". It matches the Rfam family "Bacterial small subunit ribosomal RNA", at positions 8 to 933 of the family's 1533-position model. The record is from RNAcentral.